This 652-nucleotide long non-coding RNA is filed under the name Amphimedon queenslandica. RNAcentral describes it as "uncharacterized LOC109589625, transcript variant X2". Lineage: Eukaryota; Metazoa; Porifera; Demospongiae; Haplosclerida; Niphatidae. The record is from RNAcentral.
AUAUCUAUAAUAAUAUCAAUGGGUGUAAUAUCUAUGGGUUAACCCUAACCCAGAGCCCUUUACAAUUACUGACUGAGAUUAAGGUAAUGUGCGUGCCUAAAGACACGACUGUCUACUGAUACCAAUCGUUUCAAUUCAGUACCCACUGCACUGAGUUCUGUGUUUAUAAUUCGUGUACUUCAUUGUACUUGAAUCUCUUCAAGUAAGGGUAUUGCUACAGUGAAAUAAAAUAGUGGAUAUGAAACGAGGAGUCAGGAGCUUAUUUCCAGCAAAAUAAGAUUGUACUCCUGUCCAGCAGCAGCAUAUGGAUAAAGCUUAAAGCAUGUGACUGUUUCUAUAACUAUACUACAGUUCCUCCUUCCCACCCCCGUGUGUCUCUCUUUCUCUUUAUCUUACACUGAAGCUCCAUCAAUAAACCUAGGCCUCCUGUAAUGAAUACAAGAUUUCAAACUCUCGUCAAAUUAUAUUUCUGUUAAAUAUAGAUUUAAUCUUAUUUUUAACAAAUAUUGUUUAUUUUUCUUAUUUUCAAUAGCUCAGGAUGCUUCUUUUCAACUGCCUUGGAUGCACUUUCAGGAUUACUUAACAGGACUGAUUACCUAAAAAUUAAGAAAAAUAAUACUUUUCAAAAUUGUACCAAGCAACUGCUUAAAAA